CCUACGGGUGGCAGCAGUGAGGAAUAUUGGUCAAUGGGCGGGAGCCUGAACCAGCCAAGUCGCGUGAGGGAAGACGGUCCUAUGGAUUGUAAACCUCUUUAGGCGGGGAGCAAUGCCGGGCACGUGUGCCCGGAGGUAGAGUACCCGCAGAAUAAGCAUCGGCUAACUCCGUGCCGGCAGCCGCGGUAAUACGGAGGAUGCGAUCGUUAUCCGGAUUUAUUGGGUUUAAGGGGUGCGUAGGCGGAUUUUUAAGUCAGCGGUAAAAUGUCCGGGCUCAACCCGGGCCGGCUGUUGAAACUGGGGUGCUUGAGUGGGCGAGAAGUAGGCGGAAUGCGUGGUGUAGCGGUGAAAUGCAUAGAUAUCACGCAGAACUCCGAUUGCGAAGGCAGCAUACCGGCGCCCGACUGACGCUGAGGCACGAAAGCGUGGGGAUCGAACAGGAUUAGAUACCCGAGUAGUC
This 460-nucleotide ribosomal RNA is filed under the name uncultured bacterium. RNAcentral describes it as "partial 16S ribosomal RNA". It matches the Rfam family "Bacterial small subunit ribosomal RNA", at positions 338 to 795 of the family's 1533-position model. The record is from RNAcentral.